Corvus hawaiiensis (hawaiian crow) is the source of this 1333-nucleotide long non-coding RNA. RefSeq lists it as uncharacterized. The transcript is spliced from 4 exons. The record is from RefSeq and is a predicted model, not a curated record. NCBI's taxonomy places the organism in Eukaryota, Metazoa, Chordata, Aves, Passeriformes, Corvidae.
GUAAGCAUUUAUCCCUCCUGGGAAAGAAUCAAGUGCUUUGGGGAGUGGAUAGGAGAGAACUACAACAUUAAGUUGCUUCUCCUUCCACCAGCACCCAACCCCACACCCUGAGGCCUCCCAGCAAAGAUUCAUGAAGUGAUGCCCAGUUGGCCACCUCUGCUCCACGUGCUGUUCCUCAUGUUCUGGAUACUGGGGUCUCCUUUGGAGGGGUACAGAGCUGUGUGAGAACAUCAAGGGCUGCAGUGAAAAAUCAACUCCUUUUAACAUGUGACAUGAACCCUGGCGCUGUAAGCAUGACCUCAGGAGAAGAGCCUGGGAAGAGAGCUGUCACUGGGGAGACUGCUGGGCAGCACACAGAUGGCAAGGGACACAGCCUCACUCUGAAGAGCAAGGCUAAACCCAUGCAAGAUCAUACCUGUUCUUGUCAGGCAGUCCCAUCCAGCCCAGCACUAAGUCAGGAUAACAAGCUUAGAGGAUAAAUUCUCCCCUGCCAGAAUUUGUUUCUCUGCUGCCAGCCACCUCAGCAUUUAGCAAAACCCCAUUCUUUGCUCACUUCCAGGCUGCUUAAAGCAAAGGCGGGUACAGACCACCCUCCUCAAGUUUUGGAUUCAGUCCCACAAUCUUUUUUCAUGCAGGCUGCUGUACUUGUUCCCAAUCCUCCCACCUCUGGAGGUGCUCGAGCCUCCCCAGCGCCUGCAGCCGGCAGGAACACUCUGGGGCAGGACGGCAGAGCUCACAUUGACCUGAGACCCCGUGGCAGAACUGCUGCCUGCUGGUGUGGGAACAACCAGCUGUGUCCAUCAGCAGCAAGGAGGGUUCUUCUCAGGAGCCCUUGCAAGGUGUCUGAAGAGGCUGUUCAGGGCAGCUCAGCAACAUUGAUAAGUAAGUUGGCAAGAACUUGCGAUUUUCCUGUAUUUUUCAGAUGUUGCUUGGUUUUGAGACACUGCUGGUGUUGGACAGUUUGGAAGUGCCUUUCCUACGCCUCUGGAAGCCAUGCAGGCUCUCAGUUGUGUGCCAUGCUUUUUGUUAAAGGAGCUUUCUCUCAGCAGCACUUCAGAGCCUCCCAAGAGUCCAGAAAUAUAUAAAGUACUUAGGAAAAGAGGCCAGAUUUGCAGAAAUCUGGGAAUACCACUCAGAGGCAGAGGAGUUUGGGGUGCUCUGGUUAUCCAGCAACUCUAAAAAACCCAGCUGUGACAUGCAGAGCAGGAGGUACACCAGUGAAAUGCUCCAGUAACGUGCUUUUUAGCAGCAUCCUGAAAGGACUUUCUCUUCCAGGCUUUGAGUGCUGGGCAUGGUACUCAUCUCUGGUGGCCCUUUUCACAGCACUUUUGUU